This is a long non-coding RNA of Cyprinus carpio (common carp), 205 nucleotides long. The record is from Ensembl. NCBI's taxonomy places the organism in Eukaryota, Metazoa, Chordata, Actinopteri, Cypriniformes, Cyprinidae.
AUUCUGUGUCCGUUAAAUCGACGUUUUACCACCGCGUUAUCCGUUUGUCAUCUAUGAACACGAUUUCCCGGUUGUUAACAGCUCUCGCUGAAAAAAAAAAAAAAACGGAUACGAUGGUGAAAUGGCUCCCUCCGGUUCAAAUAUUGAGCAGCAAGCCUUUGACGGUAUUAAUACAUCGCUCGCGAUUGAUCCAGACAGCGCAGCC